CACUUCCCCCCUUGGCCUCAGCGGCGGAGCUAAGAAACAAUGCCGCUUUCUCUCUCGUCCUCACCCACUGCCGCCGCUACUACUGCCGCCAGCGGAGCCGCUCACCGCUUCCUCUAUCCUCACCGGCCGUGCCUCCACCGCGCUGGAAAAAAUUUCGUACUUCUCUCGUUUGUUCCCUGUCGGGCUUCUUCCGUAGCUCGCGGUCUGAUCAGGGGCAUGGCAGAUGUGGAAACGCAGAAGGCUGCAUCUCCUUCUAUAUUGGCUGUAGGGCAUAAGCAAGCAUUGAUAUCAUUGUCGGAUAAGCGAGACUUAUCUCUUCUUGGAGAUGGACUCCAAGGCUUAGGGUAUUCUAUUGUUUCGACCGGCGGAACAGCAUUUGCUUUAGAAGAAGCUGGUGUCUCUGUAACUAAAGUUGAAGAGAUCACCCAUUUUCCAGAAAUGCUAGAUGGACGGGUGAAAACUCUACAUCCUAGUAUACAUGGUGGUAUUCUUGCUCGUAGAGAUCAUAAUCAUCACAUGGAAGCCUUAAGUAGGCACAACAUUGGAACAUUUGAUAUAGUGGUGGUGAACUUGUAUCCAUUCUAUGAAAAGGUUACUUCUGCCAAUGGAAUAACUUUUGAGGAUGGAAUUGAGAAUAUCGACAUUGGUGGCCCUACCUUGAUACGUGCUGCAGCAAAGAAUCACAAAGAUGUCUUGGUUGUUGUUGACCACAAAGACUAUCCUGCAGUCUUGGAAUUUCUGCAAGGAAAACAAGAUAAUCAGCAUUUUCGGAGGAAACUGGCAUGGAAGGCCUUUCAACAUGUUGCUUCUUAUGAUUCUGCAGUGUCAGAGUGGUUGUGGAAGCAAACAGAGGAUGGAGAUAAGAUGCCUCCAAGCUUUACAGUGCCCUUGUCACUGAAGUGUACUCUUCGAUAUGGUGAAAAUCCUCAUCAGAAAGCUGCAUUUUACGAUGACAGGAGUUUAUCCCUGGUUAAUGCUGGUGGUAUUGCCACUGCUAUACAACACCAUGGGAAGGAAAUGUCGUACAAUAAUUAUUUGGAUGCUGAUGCUGCCUGGAACUGUGUCUCCGAGUUCAAGAACCCUACUUGUGUGAUUGUGAAGCACACAAAUCCCUGUGGUGUAGCAUCACGUCAAGACAUCCUUGAAGCCUACAGGCUAGCUGUAAAGGCUGAUCCUGUCAGUGCUUUUGGUGGCAUUGUCGCUUUCAACACAAUAGUAGAUGAGGACCUAGCAAAGGAAAUCCGUGAGUUUAGGAGUCCAAUAGACGGUUUGAUUCGAAUGUUUUACGAGAUUGUGGUUGCACCUAAAUAUACUGAGAAAGGCCUUGAGAUCCUCCGUGGCAAGUCAAAGACUUUGAGGAUCCUUGAGGCAAAAAAGAGUGAGAAAGGGAUGCUUUCACUGCGACAGGUUGCUGGGGGCUGGUUAGCUCAGGACUCUGAUGAUUUAACCCCAGAAGAUAUCAAAUUCACUGUGAUGUCGGAAAGGAUACCACAAGAGGCUGAGCUUCAAGAUGCGGAAUUUGCAUGGCUUUGUGUUAAGCAUGUCAAGAGUAAUGCAAUUGUAAUAGCCAAGAAUAACUGUAUGUUGGGAAUGGGGAGUGGGCAGCCAAAUAGGGUGGAGAGCUUACGAAUAGCUUUUAGGAAAGCAGGAGAAGAGGCAAAAGGAGCUGCUUUGGCUAGUGAUGCUUUCUUCCCAUUUGCUUGGAAGGACGCGGUCGAAGAGGCAUGCCAGAACGGUAUCGGAGUUAUUGCUGAACCUGGAGGCAGUAUCAGAGACGGAGAUGCCGUGGACUGCUGCAACAAAUAUGGAGUUUCUCUUGUCUUUACGAAUGUCCGACACUUCAGGCACUGAAGACCAUCUUCUCUCCAAGUAUGGAAGAGAAAAUUCCUGACAGAGGAAUACAGUUCAGAAGCAAGACUAAAUGGUGAAGCCAAAAUCUACACUCAUGGCCAAGAAUAGCAAACAAAGCAAACUCCAAAAACAAAGAGCUGCUGCUACCAAUUACAGCGGGGAUGUCAACUGCGCAGGGCAAUUCUAUAUCUUAAGUGUACGUGUGUGUGCAUGCAAGUGCGUGCGUUCGUGUAUCCAAAGCCAACUUAUGCACCAAAUUGUUCAUGGAGUUCAAUGUUGAUGGAUGGUGGGGUAGCAGUUUGCACUCCGCCAUCCAAUAUUAAUGUGGUGAUUAAGAGCAUGAUAUGCACUUAAAAUCA
RNA transcript from Musa acuminata AAA Group (dessert banana), 2210 nucleotides. RefSeq lists it as uncharacterized. The transcript has 13 exons. Lineage: Eukaryota; Viridiplantae; Streptophyta; Magnoliopsida; Zingiberales; Musaceae. The record is from RefSeq and is a predicted model, not a curated record.